Lingula anatina is the source of this 1825-nucleotide unclassified non-coding RNA. Lineage: Eukaryota; Metazoa; Brachiopoda; Lingulata; Lingulida; Lingulidae. The record is from RefSeq and is a predicted model, not a curated record.
AGGUAAACAAAAUGUCGACCACCAGUACGGAAUCGGAUGAAGAUGAAAGGCGUCGCUUACAGGACGCUGUUGUAGAUAUAUGCCCUGUAGUUAAAUCCAAUCAUCACACAGUAAAGCAAGGUGGGAAGAGACUAGAUAGCGUGUAGGUCAACAGAAUGAGAUCUGGCUUUCUAUAAACGAACACCCACACUCCUCCACAAAUGGAGAAAAGCACCGGUGUUGAGUUGUCUUUCUGGCUAUGGAUAUAAGCCUCCUCUUGGGCCCAUUUCACAAAAUGACUAUUUGAAGCCAAAAACCACUUCUUCGAUAGUAAAAUCUGCAACUGGUCUUAGCUGGAUAAGGGUUGAAAGUGCAGAUGUGCAGGGAUUGGAAAUAACUUCAGAAUUUAAAACAUUUCUAGCAGGGAAGCUGUCAAAAGUUCUUGACGAGUAAGUUUGUGUUUGAAAGAGUUUGUAAUGGCUUUGUACAUUUUGGGUUAUGAUGAAGUUAAAUGGACGAGUAAGAAUAAUUGUUUGAAACAUUGGAAAAAGACAUUUUUGGGGAUUUUACUUAUGGAACCAACAUGACUGGGUGUCAUGGAGUAUCUAAUUUUAGGUAAUGUUUGCCCAAAUGAAUAAACAAUUAAGUUAAAUUAGAAUAAUGAAAAUAACUGUUGAGAAUAUAUAGUGCUAUUUAUAUUACAUGCUCAAUUUAGUUAUUUUGUAUGCACCUUUUUUUCUGAGAGCAAACUACAUUUGAAAAAAAAAGAGAGAAACCUGCAAAUGUGUAUAUAAAAGUACCACUACUCUAAUUCCUUACUUAGCCCUAGGUGAAACACUGAAUCACAGGAAUCUCAUUGGACCUGUCAAAGCAGAUGUUUGUAUUAUAGUUUUUUGUGUGGCAAGCUUACCAAUCCAUAAGUGUGUAUGGCUGUUCACUUGUCAGAUGAAGGUAGCAUUUUCCUGCUUGAAGCCAUAUCCAUGAAGCAGUUGUUGCUCCGAUGGAAAUCUUGUUUUACAUAAAUUUUAUAUUGUACUCCUUUUUCCCUCAUUUUUUUCACAGCAGUUUGCAUGUUCAUUAGGGGAAUUCCCUUGGGCCUUAGUCACAUGGUACUUGGCUUUGAAUAUUGUUUAGAAAGGAAUGCUAUAAUCAUUUGUUUGAUGAAAUCCACUGGGUUGCUGACCAACUUCAUAUCAGUUACUCGAUAUUUUCUGCAUUUUUCAGUGUCACAGCUGGUAAGUGACACUGAAAAACGCACUAAUAUCAAAGUUGAAACAUACUGAAGUUUAGUCAACAUUUGUUCAAAUUUAUUCAAAACAAAAUUACUGUAUGUAUUUAUUACUUUUUAUGUUUUAUAAUCAAUUCAGUUUAUGAACACCAAGCGAUUAAAUUUUAAUUUUGCAGUUCAAUUGAAGAGACUCAAACCCUUGUGCAAACCAGUGAACAAAGCAAAUCAUCUGAUGAUAGUGAUUUUAAAUUGUUUUCCACGUCGCACAGCCAUGAUGAGGUGAAAAACAAAUAUGUGCAAAAAGAAACGAAAAAUGUCCACUAGUAGUGACAGCUCUGAGAACUUGUCAAAGUUUCUUGAAGUUGCAGUUUCUGCUGAGACAGUACUGAAUAAUGGUAAUACAAAGAACACUGCAGAUAUAGCUAGUCAAAAGUGUGAUUAUAUCCAAUCAAAUGAGAUGCAAAAUAAAACUGAGAAUGCAUCUAAAAAAACAAAGAAGAAGAAAAAUAAGCACAAAAAAGACAAAAAGACUGGAAACACACAGAAUAUAUCCUCUGUGACUUGAUGUGUAGCACACUUACUGACAUACAAUUUAAUAAAUGCAACAAUGAAUAAUUA